UACGUAGGGGGCAAGCGUUGUCCGGAAUUAUUGGGCGUAAAGGGCGUGUAGGCGGUCCGGUAAGUCAGCUGUGAAAGUCAAGGGCUCAACCCUUGAAAGCCGGUUGAUACUGUCGGGCUAGAGUCCGGAAGAGGCGAGUGGAAUUCCCGGUGUAGCGGUGAAAUGCGCAGAUAUCGGGAGGAACACCGAUGGCGAAGGCAGCUCGCUGGGCCGGUACUGACGCUGAGGCGCGAAAGCGUGGGGAGCAAACAGG
RNAcentral lists this ribosomal RNA (253 nucleotides) under uncultured bacterium. Its description in RNAcentral is "partial 16S ribosomal RNA". It matches the Rfam family "Bacterial small subunit ribosomal RNA", at positions 524 to 776 of the family's 1533-position model. The record is from RNAcentral.